GCAGCACAGAGAGCUCAUUGUGAGGAGCCAGCAAGUGACUCAGAGCACUGGAAUGGAAGAUGGCACCUCUCACCUCCAGGUCACCCAUCUCCAUCCAUUUGCAGUUAGUGGGGGCUAGAAGUUAUUGCCAUCAGAGGGGCAUUCAGUGAAAUGAGCUGGUUGUCUGAGGACAGCUGCCCAGUCACACAGACCAGGCCGAUAUUAUUGCCCAACACAUUCUGCUCUCCCAGGCUCUAGCCAUGGCCGUUCAAUCAUCCUCUGAAUGGCCUGAAGCUCCAAGGGCCACCAGGCACACACUGCUGCCUUCUGUCUCACUCAGUGACUGGCAUGGUCACCCACUGAGAAAUAGACAAAGGCCUUCUCAUGUUCCCUUUGUUCCUCAGUUCUUUCUUCCCUCAGAAAGAGCUGCAAGAAAUGUUGUCCAUACUUUUCUGUAAUUCCUCCACUUCUGCUGAGCCCAGGCAUUGAAAAGUGAUUGACCACGCCACAGAAAUCAAACUUUCAGAUGCGAGCGCUCUCAUGGAUCCACAAGCACAGCCUUCAAGGAACAUUUCAAGCACUCUCAUGCUUUCUUCAUAAAAAAUAGGAGCUGGCAACAUUGCCCCAGCGCUGAUUUAGCACAGUGCUGCUCACAUUCCAGGCACAGUGCAAAUGUCAGUAGCUGAUUCCCAGUGGAGCUCAGAGGAGGUUGGUGGGAUGGAGAAUCAACUGCAAUGCACUUGGUUUGGGGCCAGAGAGACUAAGAUUGGGCCCUUGUCUAUUGCAAGUCUCACAAAGAGCCCUGUAAAGAAAUUAAGACUCUCUGGUGCAAACUCAGCAGAGCUGUGGCCUCAGUUGCUUCUCAGCCCUCCCAGCAGAGGCUGUCGGAGGUUAAAGCUUUGUGCUCUCCAGGAGAGCAUAGAUCCCUUCAUCAUUGCACAAGAAAUAUGUCACACUUCUUGUUUUGACUCUGAAAGUUAAUUUUCUCCUUCGUGCCAUCAUCCACCCAGCAAGAGGAUUCAUGUAUAAUAUUAAGGCAAAGAAGGCUGUGUCUUCAGGACAGGAAUUUCCUGUAUUUACGGACAUGCCAUACAAUUUACUUGCCCAUUAUCUGCUUUCCCCAAGUCGUCGUGCUUCC
This 1117-nucleotide long non-coding RNA is filed under the name Gallus gallus (chicken). Its description in RNAcentral is "lncRNA (ENSGALG00010003045.1)". The record is from RNAcentral. Lineage: Eukaryota; Metazoa; Chordata; Aves; Galliformes; Phasianidae.